RNAcentral lists this ribosomal RNA (497 nucleotides) under uncultured bacterium. RNAcentral's name for it is "partial 16S ribosomal RNA". It matches the Rfam family "Bacterial small subunit ribosomal RNA", at positions 28 to 507 of the family's 1533-position model. The record is from RNAcentral.
GAUGAACGCUGGCGGCGUGCCUAAUACAUGCAAGUCGAGCGAACAGACGAGGAGCUUGCUCCUCUGACGUUAGCGGCGGACGGGUGAGUAACACGUGGAUAACCUACCUAUAAGACUGGGAUAACUUCGGGAAACCGGAGCUAAUACCGGAUAAUAUAUUGAACCGCAUGGUUCAAUAGUGAAAGACGGUUUUGCUGUCACUUAUAGAUGGAUCCGCGCCGCAUUAGCUAGUUGGUAAGGUAACGGCUUACCAAGGCAACGAUGGGUAGCCGACCUGAGAGGGAGGAUCGCCAGCCUGGCACUGAGGAUGAGCCGCCACACCUGGGGGGAGACACAGUAGGGAAUCCUACGGGAUGGGGCAGAGGCUAACAGGGGAAAACGGGCGAAAGGCUGAAAGAUCUAUGCUGCGUAAACUCUGAUGAUCGGGGAAAACAAAAGGUUUAGUAACCGAGGUGAUAAUGACGGUACCGGAACAAGAAGCCCCGGCUAACUCCGUG